ACACUCCUGCGGGAGGCAGCAGUGGGGAAUUUUGGACAAUGGGCGAAAGCCUGAUCCAGCAAUGCCGCGUGAGUGAAGAAGGCCUUCGGGUUGUAAAGCUCUUUUGUCAGGGAAGAAACGGUGAAAGCUAAUAUCUUUUGCUAAUGACGGUACCUGAAGAAUAAGCACCGGCUAACUACGUGCCAGCAGCCGCGGUAAUACGUAGGGUGUAAGCGUUAAUCGGAAUUACUGGGCGUAAAGCGUGCGCAGGCGGUUUUGUAAGUCUGAUGUGAAAUCCCCGGGCUCAACCUGGGAAUUGCAUUGGAGACUGCAAGGCUAGAAUCUGGCAGAGGGGGGUAGAAUUCCACGUGUAGCAGUGAAAUGCGUAGAUAUGUGGAGGAACACCGAUGGCGAAGGCAGCCCCCUGGGUCAAGAUUGACGCUCAUGCACGAAAGCGUGGGGAGCAAACAGGAUUAGAAACCCGUGUAGUCCCAUGA
This 476-nucleotide ribosomal RNA is filed under the name uncultured organism. RNAcentral's name for it is "partial 16S ribosomal RNA". It matches the Rfam family "Bacterial small subunit ribosomal RNA", at positions 333 to 800 of the family's 1533-position model. The record is from RNAcentral.